This is a long non-coding RNA of Lethenteron reissneri (Far Eastern brook lamprey), 1825 nucleotides long. RefSeq lists it as uncharacterized. Lineage: Eukaryota; Metazoa; Chordata; Hyperoartia; Petromyzontiformes; Petromyzontidae. The record is from RefSeq and is a predicted model, not a curated record.
UACAAUUUUAUGAAUUGUAAAAGUUUUUAAUCUUCAAAUGUUUUACAAUUUUCAAUGUUAUUAAAAAAAUAUAUCAUAUAUGAAAAAUGUUGCGAGAAUCUUUUGAACAUUAGUCGUGGGUGAAAUAAAUUUAUUUUUGUAGGAUGGUACAGAGGGGAAAAAGAGAGCCAUGAAGUUUGCUAUCCCAAUAAUUUGGCGGGAACCCACUGACCACUCAAGCAACUGCUACAUCUGCAUGGGGGACACCCUUCCAAACGUAGGACUGGCAAGAAUGCACCUGCUAUCACGUAUCCGGACCUGCCCUCAUCCAUCGCCCCGGUGCCACACUACCAUGAGCUCCCUGUACCCACUCCUCCGGAGAGAGACCAGCCGUCUUUAGAAGAGAGCAGCAAGUCAGAGAGCGAGGGAGACUUUGUAGAUCCAGAUGACAAUUUCAGAGGUGGAGUUAAGGAGAGAAACCCAUAAUAUCCCAACCAAAAAGACCUCAACGACUUGAUCGGAGAUCUUUGUCUCACCAAGUCCAAUGCCCAGCUUUUGACAUCCAGGCUCAAGCAGUGGAAUUUGUUGGAUGAAAGUGUGCAAGUUGCAGAUCAGAGGAAGUGUCAUGAACCUUUUUGCAGCUUCUUCACCCGUCAAGAUGGGCUCUGCUUCUGCCACAAUGUGACCAGUCUGUUCGAGGCAAUCGGAAUCGCCUGUAACCAGAAUGAGUGGCGCCUCUUCAUUGACAGCUCAUCCAGGAGCCUCAAAGCCGUGCUGCUCCACAAUGAUGUCCAGUCGAAUGGUCCCCAGCCACGCUCCGGGAUUUCCAUGAGCCGAGCCUGAGCCAAGCCACGACUGAACGUGCUCACUCGCGCGUCUUUGAAAGCAGCCGCGUGGCAUCAAGCCUGAGCUGAGCCCCCAGCGUUCAGAGGCCGAACCAGCGACGAGUGUUUUUCCCCAAGUGAAGCCAGUAGGAUUAAUAUGAUAUCAUCCAUGUGUCUGGUAUUCACACCGUUCAUAUAGCGGCAACAAUGUCACCAGAGCACUGUGUUUCACAGACGUGGCUUGCGAGCGUUUCGCAGCAGGGAGUGAUGUUGUCUUCGCGUCACCUUUUUGACGGGCACAUUCUUCAACAUUUGCCACAGUUGGAACAUGACGCCGGCGCGGAGCGUCCUCCUCUUUUCGAUCGAUGUCAAGAGAUCUUUGAUGGCCACCGUGCAGCAGACGGUUCGUUGUGUUUGUUGACGGUGAAUACAACCGCCGGUAUUUACUAUUAACCAGGGGAGGCCUGCCAGAUUCGAACCGCGGAGCUCCGCAACGGGCGCCGAACUCGCGAGCGCGGUCGCGUCAACCGCUCCAUUUACCGCGCUACAAUUGUGCGCACGUACGCGGAGCUGUGCGCACGCACGCGGGGCUGUGCGUCGCGUGCAUUGCGUGCGCGUUCGAUCUUGGCGGGAAAUAAUUCUGUGAGCUCUAUAUAUGAACGAGCGGCAUUAUCCCGGCACUCCGCCGGGCCGUGCUCGUCUGCCGGGAGAGCCACGCGAACACAUUUCAAUCAAGCCGCGGCCGUUUUCUCUCCCCCCUGCCCCGCGAUAUCGCUCCUUGAUUGAGCAAAUGCUCUUCCAUAGGGAAAUCAUGCGCAGCGCUGAACUUUAAAAUUCCAAACGUAUGUCCUGGAUGUUAAUUGGGCACAUGUUUUAUUCUUAUAUGAAAAGUGGGUAACCUUUUGUCCGUUGCACUGCUCAGUUCGCACCACACUGAUUGCUGUUUGAUGAGAUAAAACCAAAUAUGUAAAUUUGAAAAUAAACAUCAGAUGUCGAGCAUGCGAUUGACAUGCAUUCACGAA